RNAcentral lists this long non-coding RNA (1517 nucleotides) under Macaca fascicularis (crab-eating macaque). Its description in RNAcentral is "lncRNA (ENSMFAG00000053290.1)". Lineage: Eukaryota; Metazoa; Chordata; Mammalia; Primates; Cercopithecidae. The record is from RNAcentral.
GUCCCUGAUACAUUUCUGAGUCCAUGUUUUUGUUUCUUUUAUCAGUGUAUUUCUAUUGUUCAGAAUAUGUCAUUUCUGUCAUUCUAUAUUUCAGUUCACUGAUUUUUCUUCUGAUUCCUUCAUUCUGCUGAACACAUCCACUGAGCUUUUUAUUUUGGUUAUCAUAUUUCUCAUUUCUAAAGUUACCAUUUGCUUCUUCUCUAAAACUUCUAUUUCCUUGCUGAAGCUUUAUUUUUUUUCCAUUUGCUUCAAGUAUGUUUGUAAUUGCUUGUUGAAGUAUUUUUAUCAUGGCUGCUUUUAAAACCUUUGUCAGAUAAAUCAAACAUGUCUGUCAUCAAGGUGCUGGCAUCUAUUGAUUUUUUUCCUUCAUUUUGAGAUCUUCCUGAUUCUUUUUAUGAUGACUUGUUUUUUUAAAUUAAAGCCUAGAUGUUUUUGUCUUAUGAUGAGACUACGAACCUUAAUUAAAACUUUGGUUUCACUGGCUUUCUCUGACAUGCCUAUGUCAAGGAAACAAGAGAUUUCCUAAUGGGGGGGGGGUACUGCCUCAUUAAUGCCAGGUAGAGAUAGAGGUCCAUGUUAACCACUUAGCCUUCUUUAACACAUAAAUUGGGAGAGGGCUCCUUUUUUAUUAUAGGGCUAGGAUAUGAUUUCUGCAUCCUCAGGUAACCUCCACUGACGCCAUGGUGAGGGUGACUUUGUUACCACUGGAUGAAAGUUCUGACUCUCCACCAGGCUACUUCUGAUCCCAGCCCAGCAGAGAUGACAAAAGACACCUUAUUACUGCAAGUACACUUAGAAGUUCAGGCUCCCCAACAUAGAGACCACUAACACCAAAGAGAAGAGGCAAAGGGAAAGGCGGACCUCAUUACUGGUCAGUGGGGAUUAAAGUUCUAGCUCUCUACUUGGCCUUCUUUGACACCACCCCACUGGGGCCUCGGAAUACCUUGUUACAGCUUGGUGAAGGUAAAAUUCUAGGUUCCCCACUCAGCCUCUGCUUCUGUGACUAUGAAGUCAUGAACUCAUCUGUCAUGAUCCUCAGAAGUACAGCAGAUAGUACCUGUUAGAACACUGCCUAGAAGAUAGUUUUGUGUCUUGCUAGGCUCCUGCUUUUCUGGUCAUUUGGGUAGGAUAAAGAGGACAAACUUUUGUUGGGCUUUUUAAAAUGUGCCUGUUGGUAUUUCUGAAUUGGCAAAUACUUCAGCUCUAUAUUUGGGAACUUAUCACCAUGUUAUUUUCAGAUCUCAAGUUCCCUAGAUGGUCUACCACCUUCUUUCCACCUUUCAAAGUCUUGUGUUUAGUUUAUAUGUAAUGUCCAGAGAUUUGAGUUGUAUGUAGACAAAGGAAUAAGGAAAAGUGCGUCUACUCCAUUUGCCCAGAAGCAGAAGUCGGUAUUCUCUCAUUACUUUUUGAAAGUUUUACUUAUCUGCAAAUUGUUCUCUCUCCUGCAACAACAAAAUGAAGAAAAAAAAUUUCCUCAGAUUGUCCUGUUUCCUACUGAAAGUAAAAAAAAAAAAAAA